AAAAUACAACAUUUGUGCAAGUGCACGACGAUUACCGAAAAGAACUACGACCAUUACUGCAGAUUAGAAAUGACAUUUGUCAUUAAAUUGUGUCUUCAUUAUCAUUCAAAGAGCUUUGGCAUAUAUGAGAAUCACUUCUUUUACAUAUUACAUGUUAAUGUGAUGGCUGUAUGUCUGUGUACAAGAGAGUCUGUGAAAAUGAUGAGGGCCAACAGAGUUGAUGAUGGUCAUAUCCUUAAUAUCAACAGCUUAUCAGGACAUUGUUGUGGUAAAGCACACUUUUAUUCAGCUACUAAACAUUGCAGUGACUGCAUUAACUGAAGGCAUUAGAUGGGAACUAAGAGAAAUAAACAGUCAUAUCAAAAUAACAAGUAUCAGUCCAGGCUAAGUGAAGACUAAUUUUGCCUAUACUGCAGUUGGAGAAGCUGCAGCUGACGAAUGUUACAAUACAAGACAAAGUCUGGAUCCUCAGGACAUAGCCAAUGCCAUAGAAACAGUUUUAUCUUACCCAUCACAUGUCCAGUCUAGAACCUGGUCUAUCACAUACAGUUGGUUCAGCAAGGGAUGCUGGUAGUAUAGACAAAACAGAUAUUAAUGACACAGUUAUUCCAGAGGAUGAAUACCUUACUUACUGAAUGAUAGUAAUGUUAUAGCAACCAAGAUACUUGGAGCGGGUCCACCAGUUAUAGCUCUCAUCACCUGCACAUACCACUGAGUGCUGUUUACACAUGGAGCAGUCACCAUCAUAACACCUGAUUUUCACCUGCAGAGCCUUGGCUCAUAGGAUGAUACCAGUAGCUGGGAACGAGUCUUUAUGCCAUCAUUGUGUACAGCUGAAGUAGAAGUGAUUGUAGGUUCAUCUUUAAUGUCCUUCUGUUCAACAUUCAUUUCAACAACAGGAGCAUUAUUGAUAUCUUGGUCUGGUGUAGUGGACAACUCUAGUACAGGGACAGGAAUAGGAACAUUCCAUGGAAUUCUGCCAUUCUGGAAUCUACCAACAGGUGCAACUCUCCUUCUCUGCAGCCGUCCAGCUAAGCCUUUGUUGAAUGGCCAGUAACCUUUUGGAUACAUGUUGAGACAAAUAUUUUGGUGGUGCAGUGUAAAGCAUCAAUAGAAACUUGGAUGACAGACCUUAGAAGUGUUAAUUUUUAUAUUUUUUGUCAUUAUGUAACUUUUGAUUCAGAUUUUUAAUUGUCUAAGUGAUGCUGUCAAUCAAUUCUGUAGAUUCUUUUGAUCUAUUUUUAGCUGCAGAUUAAAGAAAUGACCAACUCUGGCUUCAAAGGGUUUGGUCCAGUUCAAACAAAAUUCCUUAUUUUGGCCUUUUAUUUGUGAAAUGAAAAUUCUUUUCCUAUUCAGAUUUUACAAACGUUAAUUUUCUAAAUUUUAGAAAGUUGUUUUGCCAUUGAAAAGUGAUUGGUUUCUGUUCUGUAACUUAAGUUUGCCUCAACCAAAUAUUAUCAAACUUAUACACAAUGCUUAUUACCACAAAACACACAUCAAGUUUGAAUUUUGGUGGCAUCACUUUAAACGUUCUAGAGUUAUGCCCCGUUAUAAAUGGAAAAAUUGCUAAAUUUUUCAUUUCCGUUCUCUAACUUAAGUUUGCCUAACCAAAUGUUAUUAAACUUAUACACAAUGCUUAUUACCACAAUACACAGAUCAAGUUUGAAUUUUGGUGGCGUCACUUUUACUGUUCUAGAGUUAUACCCUUUACAAAUGGAAAAAUUGCUAAACAAAUUUUUCAUUUUUUUUCUAAAAAUAUCAAUGAUGUCAUUGUUCAAGUAAUUUUUAAAAUUGGAGUUAUUUUCCUUUGUCCAUGAUUAUAGUUGAAUCAACUACAAUCAAUGCUUUAUACAAUGCAUUGUUUAAUUUUGCCUUCCACUGAUAAAACACAGAUCAAGUUGAAUUUGGGUUGUGUCACUUUAAACCAUUAUUGAGUUAUGCCCCUUUAUAAAUCGAAAAUUGCAAAAUUUUUAGUUUCCGUUCUGUAACUUAAGUUUGCCCCAACCAAAUAUGAAACCUAUACACAAUACUUAUUACCACAAAACUAAGAUCAAGUACAAAUUUGGGUAGCGUUUUUUUAUUGUUCUUGAGUUAUGUCCCUUUAUAAUGUUGUAUGCAAGCGGGGGCAUCAUCUGUAUCCAUGGGGACACAUUCUCCAUUUAUUUGGUUCUAUUUUUGUUUUGUUUUGAAAAAAAAAAUUUAAUUCUAAAAUCCUGUUGAAUUUGUUACUUUUUUUAAUUGAAAUGAAUUUUUUGGCAUCUUAACCUUUCCAAAACACUCUAUUUCAUCUCAAAAUUGCAAAAAAAAAGGAUUUUACAGCAUUUUAAAGUUUGUAUGACAUCUUGAUUUUGCCUUGGGCAGAUGAUGUAAAGGGGGUGUUGAAUAUACAGGUAAAUAAUCCAAAAAUUUAUUCAAGACCCCCAUAAAGUUAGGUUUUGUGUAUUAGAGUAUGACUAUAGAAUUUUUUAAUGCACUUCAUAAAACUUGCACUAAUAAAAAAGUUACGAGCAUUUGAAUAAAGAAGGUAUUUUGAGGAAAUCGAAAGUUCCAUACCAGAAAAAUGAUAAAAUUUGGGUGUGAAGGUAGGGGUGCAAGAAAUGCAUUUGCUGAUCUAUGCAUUGUCUGAUUGGUCUGAAAUUUGUUAUGUAGUCUUGAUAUAUAUUAAAGUUAAUAUAUGUAAAAUUUUAUUUCAUUUGGACUACUGGAAGGGUCCUAUUAGGUCCUCGGUUAUCUACCUUCAAUUUUCGUUGUCCACAAAUGUACAAGUAGUUCCCUUUAAUUUCAGUAUUUUUUUUCUUAUUUUUUUUCUUUGUCUUUUUUUGGAAUUUUUCAUUAUUUGUUUGUAUUAAGGUGAAAGAUAAGACUUCAAAUAUACUGUCUGAAAAAAAUCUUUUUGAAAUUUUCUGUAGAACUGAGUGAUUUGGUCAGGUAAAUAAAGGUGUAAUUUCCUCUUCUCGGAAGCUCUCUGGCUUCAUCCUUACCGGUGUCCUUAUGUUGGGGUUACCAGGAGAGAAUGAGCUGGUAGACUUUUCUGAAUUUUUGAUAUGUUUUGGGAAAAAAGUCAAACUUUAUGCACAAAUCUUAUUAGAAUAGAGCAGGUAGAAUUUUUUUUAAUAGCCAUUAUGUUUUAAUAGACAAAAAGGGGAAAAUAACUGUGUUCUCGGGCCAAUUGUAGUAAAAGUUAAGUUUGGCACUUCUUCCUUUAAAUAUCAGGAAACAAGGACUUUUACCUUCUUUGUUAUUUGAUGAAAUUAUAGUGAGCAAUGUUAAUAAUUUAUUACACCCAAAAUUCAAGUCUUUAUCAAUUUAUUGCUUGCAUUAAAUCUAUUUCCCUUGUAUGACUAAUCUCUGUGUCCUUUCCUUAAUUAUUCUUUGUCUAAUAGACCUAACUGAAUUGUUGUUAAUGAGUCUCCAUGUCCUUUCGUUGAGUAAUUUUUAUCUAUACGACCUUCGCUUAUUGUUUGUAGAGUCUCUCCAUGUCCCUUCCUCAAGUAAUUUUUUUUCUAAAAAACCUUAUUUUAUUAUUUUGUAUGAGUCUAUCCCUGUGCCAUCAUUGAGCAAUUUUUUCUAAAAGACAUUACCUAAUUGUUUUGUACGAGUCUCUCCAUGUCCCUUCAUUGAGUUUUUUUUUUGAUAAAAGACGCACCUUUUUUUCAAAGAGAUAUUUCACAAAAUGUAAACUGUACAUUAUUUGUAAAUAUUUGAUUAAAGAAACAUGAGUAGGGUUCAAGAUUCCAAAAGAAAAUGAUUCCCAUCUCAAUAAUCUAUAUAAAAUAAUAGAUCUUGGCACCUUAUAUUCCUCAACAAAUGGUAUGCUAACAAAUGAUAUACAAUCAAACUUUGAAUGUAUAUACAUUGUAAUAUAUUUCCAUAAAAUAUUAAAAAUAUAUCAUAUUCUUAUUUCCUUGUACAUCUACCUUCAGUUUAUUUUGUCACUGCAAUUAUCAUGUGAAACAUAAUGUCAGUUUGUAAUUGUUGUACAUGAUUCUUUGAUUGUAAUAACAACAAGCAUUUGACUUUACAUGUAAAAAAUAAAAUAUUUUAGUCUUUAUUUACCUCACCAGAAAAUGAUUGUAUCACAUUUUCUCAUUAGUUUUCAACAAUGCAUUUCAGAUAUGUGUAAUUAAUCGGCCCUUUAACAGUGCGCAGUUUUCAUCGCAUGUUUCUAAUGACGAGCGCAUAAAAACAAAAAUUGGAAUGAAAUAUAUUUUUGAUAAAUGUGGACAACUUGAACCAAAAAUUUUAUAAUUAUUAUUCUAACUGUGUUUAGAUUAGAAUUUGUUAUAGUCUGCAACUAGCCAUUUUUGAUAGGUCAUUUAAUAAUUCUUUCAGUGAAAGAGAAAUGUGCAUUGACUGUGAAUUUUUUUUUUUAUUAUAAGUGUUCAUGUUAUAAUAAUUGUAUGUAAAUAUGAUAUUGAAAUAACUGUGAUAAUAACUGUGAUAUUGACUUGUAUUGUAUAUUGAAUAACUAAAAAAAAAAACACCAUA
Long non-coding RNA from Mytilus californianus (California mussel), 4488 nucleotides. RefSeq lists it as uncharacterized. Lineage: Eukaryota; Metazoa; Mollusca; Bivalvia; Mytilida; Mytilidae. The record is from RefSeq and is a predicted model, not a curated record. The transcript has 8 exons.